CUGGCGGCGUGCUUACACAUGCAAGUCAAGGGGAACGGCAGGCUUCGGUUUGCUAAGUAUACUGGCGAACGGGUGAGUAACGCGUAGGUAACCUGCCUAUGAGUUUGGGAUAACACUGCUAACGCGGUGCUAAUACCGGAUAAAGCAAUUUGAUCGCAUGGUCAGGUUGUUAAAGUGGGCUUUUAGCUCAUGCUUAUAGAUGGACCUGCGUCUCAUUAGCUAGUUGGCGGGGUAACAGCCCACCAAGGCGACGAUGGGUAGCCGACCUGAGAGGGUGAUCGGCCACACUGGGACUGAGAUACGGCCCAGACUCCUACGGGAGGCAGCAGUGAGGAAUAUUGCGCAAUGGAGGAAACUCUGACGCAGCAACGCCGCGUGCGGGAUGACGCUUUUAGGAGUGUAAACCGCUGUUAGUAGGGACGAAUAAGUUAAUUUCGAAUAGGGAUUAACGAUGACGGUACCUACAGAGAAAGCCCCGGCUAACUCCGUGCCAGCAGCCGCGGUAAUACGGA
RNAcentral lists this ribosomal RNA (512 nucleotides) under uncultured bacterium. RNAcentral's name for it is "bacterial SSU rRNA". It matches the Rfam family "Bacterial small subunit ribosomal RNA", at positions 36 to 529 of the family's 1533-position model. The record is from RNAcentral.